UACGGAGGGGGCUAGCGUUGUUCGGAUUUACUGGGCGUAAAGCGCACGUAGGCGGGUCGUUAAGUCGGGGGUGAAAUCCUGGAGCUCAACUCCAGAACUGCCUUCGAUACUGGCGACCUAGAGUCCGGAAGAGGUGAGUGGAACUCCUAGUGUAGAGGUGGAAUUCGUAGAUAUUAGGAAGAACACCAGUGGCGAAGGCGGCUCACUGGUCCGGUACUGACGCUGAGGUGCGAAAGCGUGGGGAGCAAACAGG
RNAcentral lists this ribosomal RNA (253 nucleotides) under uncultured bacterium. RNAcentral's name for it is "partial 16S ribosomal RNA". It matches the Rfam family "Bacterial small subunit ribosomal RNA", at positions 524 to 776 of the family's 1533-position model. The record is from RNAcentral.